Molecule: ribosomal RNA, 1303 nt
Filed under: metagenome
Description: bacterial LSU rRNA
Rfam family: Bacterial large subunit ribosomal RNA
Source: RNAcentral
CCCAGCUGCCAAGAAAAGCCGCUAUUGUUUCAUAAGUACCCGUACCGUAAACCGACACAGGUGGAUGAGGAGAGAAUCCUAAGGCCGGCGGGAGAAGUGUUGUUAAGGAACUCGGCAAAAUGACUCCGUAACUUCGGGAGAAGGAGUGCCACAGAGAUGUGGCCGCAGAGAAAAGGCCCAAGCAACUGUUUAGCAAAAACACAGGUCUAUGCAAAACCGAAAGGUGAGGUAUAUGGGCUGACGCCUGCCCGGUGCUGGAAGGUUAAGAGGAGAGGUUAGAGCAAUCGGAGCUUUGAAUUUAAGCCCCAGUAAACGGCGGCCGUAACUAUAACGGUCCUAAGGUAGCGAAAUUCCUUGUCGGGUAAGUUCCGACCCGCACGAAAGGCGUAAUGAUUUGGGCACUGUCUCAACAACACACCCGGUGAAAUUGAAAUACCAGUGAAGAUGCUGGUUACCUGCGCCAGGACGGAAAGACCCCAUGGAGCUUUACUCCAGUUUGAUACUGGGAUUCGGUACUGUCUGUACAGGAUAGGUGGGAGGCUAGGAAAUGGUGACGCCAGUUGCCAUGGAGCCAACCUUGGGAUACCACCCUUACAGUACUGGGUUUCUAACCUGCAGCCGUAACCCGGCUGGGGGACAAUGUCUGACGGGGAGUUUGACUGGGGCGGUCGCCUCCGAAAGAGUAUCGGAGGCGCUCAAAGGUUCCCUCAGAACGGUUGGAAACCGUUCGAAGAGUGCAAAGGCAGAAGGGAGCUUGACUGCGACACCGACGGGUGGAGCAGAUACGAAAGUAGGACUUAGUGAUCCGGUGGUAUAAAGUGGGAUUGCCAUCGCUCAACGGAUAAAAGCUACCCUGGGAUAACAGGCUUAUCACUCCCAAGAGUUCACAUCGACGGAGUGGUUUGGCACCUCGAUGUCGGCUCAUCGCAUCCUGGAGCUGUAGCAGGUUCCAAGGGUUGGGCUGUUCGCCCAUUAAAGCGGUACGCGAGCUGGGUUCAGAACGUCGUGAGACAGUUCGGUCCCUAUCCGGCGUGGGCGUAGGAUAUUUGAGAGGAGCUGUCCUUAGUACGAGAGGACCGGGAUGGACAAACCUCUGGUGUAUCUGUUGUUUUACCAAAGGCAUGGCAGAGUAGCCAAGUUUGGCAGGGAUAAACGCUGAAGGCAUCUAAGCGUGAAGCCCCCCUCAAGAUAAGAUAUCCCAUCUUCGGAGUAAGACCCCUUGAAGACUACAAGGUUGAUAGGCUUCAGGUGUAAGUGUGGUAACGCACUCAGCUGAGAAGUACUAAUAGGUCGAGGACUUAUU